AUUGAACGCUGGCGGCAGGCCUAACACAUGCAAGUCGAGCGGAUGAAGGGAGCUUGCUCCUGGAUUCAGCGGCGGACGGGUGAGUAAUGCCUAGGAAUCUGCCUGGUAGUGGGGGAUAACGUCCGGAAACGGGCCCUAAUCCCGCAUACGUCCUGAGGGGGAAGGGGGGGGUUCUUCGGACCUACCCCAAUCGGAUGACCCUAGGUCGGUUUAGCUAGUUGGUGGGGUAAAGGCCUACCAGGGCGACGAUCCGUAACUGUUCUGAGAGGAUGAUCAGUCACACUGGAACUGAGACACGGUCCAGACUCCUACGGGAGGCAGCAGUGGGGAAUAUUGGACAAUGGGCGAAAGCCUGAUCCAGCCAUGCCGCGUGUGUGAAGAAGGUCUUCGGAUUGUAAAGCACUUUAAGUUGGGAGGAAGGGCAGUAAGUUAAUACCUUGCUGUUUUGACGUUACCAACAGAAUAAGCACCGGCUAACUUCGUG
This 484-nucleotide ribosomal RNA is filed under the name uncultured bacterium. RNAcentral's name for it is "partial 16S ribosomal RNA". It matches the Rfam family "Bacterial small subunit ribosomal RNA", at positions 30 to 507 of the family's 1533-position model. The record is from RNAcentral.